GAAAAAGAAAGAAAGAAAAAAAAACUCUUGGGAAGCUGCAGAGACUUCUAUUGCAGAAAGGAAUGGAUGUACUCUGUUGCCCUUCCCCAAAUACCGCCCUGGUCAAGCCAAUUGGGCCGCCAACCAAUGGCACCGACCGGGCCUCCGCGCGCAGCGCCUGCUCAACUGACAGAGCGCUCGCAUCCCUCCGCUGUAGCUCGUGCAGCCUGGGCUAACGAGCCCGGGUGCCGUCCCAGCUCCUCCUCCGCCCACUCCACUGUCUCUCUUUCGCCUGUGCAGUGGUUCCUGGCAAAACCUCUUAUGCCACCUCCCGACCAUCCCGGGAAGAUUUGGCGGCUGGAGCCCUGCGCAGGAGCUGUAGCUCUGGGCUGCGGAUUUUACCGCCCCUGCACAGAAGCCUGCAGCGUGGAGGCUCCCCUCGCGCUCGCCCAGACUCGGCUGCAGAAGGAGGACCCACCUCGCGUCUCCCCCGAGGCGCGCACCUCUGUCGCCACCCUCCACGCGCCUAGGAAGUUUUGAAGGUAGAGAAUCUGGGCCCCUCAACUUCCUCUGGACAUGAAUCAAACCGCAGGAGUCUCCAAUAGCGUCAGGUAUCC
Molecule: long non-coding RNA, 596 nt
Filed under: Homo sapiens (human)
Lineage: Eukaryota; Metazoa; Chordata; Mammalia; Primates; Hominidae
Description: non-protein coding lnc-ACTR3C-2:1
Source: RNAcentral